This 604-nucleotide long non-coding RNA is filed under the name Anser brachyrhynchus (Pink-footed goose). Its description in RNAcentral is "lncRNA (ENSABRG00000020254.1)". Lineage: Eukaryota; Metazoa; Chordata; Aves; Anseriformes; Anatidae. The record is from RNAcentral.
CUAGCUGUUCCUCUAAGAAAGGAAGACUUUGUAAAUUGCGUGAGAGGCAGAAAAGAAUAAAAGCUAAAAGACAGGUUAACACAUUCAAGGACAGGACAGAAGGGGAACCAAACCCAACACUAUGCUUCAGAAUUACAGGUGGAGACUAUCUGGGGAACAGGAAAUUCUACAAAGAGACAACAGACAAGCAAGUUGGCAAGGAAUAUUUUCUGCUUGUUGCUACUUACAGAAAAAGGCUCUUCGGUCCUGGAGAGUUGAUAAGUCUGUUUUUCCAGUUGAAGAUCAGCGUGUGUGAACCUUCUUCCAAAGCAGGAAACUUUAAAUGGACUUCCAGCAAGUGCUGAGCUGCAGGGCUUUACAUAUCAGCAGUGCCACUGAAAUCAGCAGAAAAUUUGUGGAACAAGACGUUGAAGAUCUUUCCCUAAUCAGAGAAGGUAACAGAACUAGUCUUAGUGAAGAAAGCUGUGACAGAGCAGGAAAACCCAUCUGACUGUGUGCUUUUCAAUCUCUUUAUUCUUUCCUAAUAUGUUUUUCUUUAUCAUCAUCCACUUAACCUCCAGAGUGUUGUCUUCUAAUUCUGCUGUCACUUUUGACCUCAUUUUAC